RNAcentral lists this ribosomal RNA (125 nucleotides) under Mastacembelus armatus (zig-zag eel). Lineage: Eukaryota; Metazoa; Chordata; Actinopteri; Synbranchiformes; Mastacembelidae. The record is from RNAcentral.
GUUUAUGGAAAGUGCCAUACCAUCCUGCAAGCACCUGAUUCCAUCUGAUUUCAGAAGCUAAGCAGGGUUGAGCCUGGUUGGUACUUGAAUGAGAGACUGCCUGGUAAUACCAGGUUCUGUAGGCU